RNAcentral lists this non-coding RNA (64 nucleotides) under uncultured Polaribacter sp. RNAcentral describes it as "S15-Flavobacteria ribosomal protein leader". It matches the Rfam family "S15-Flavobacteria ribosomal protein leader". Lineage: Bacteria; Pseudomonadati; Bacteroidota; Flavobacteriia; Flavobacteriales; Flavobacteriaceae. The record is from RNAcentral.
UAUAUUUGCCGCCUCAAUGAUAGCAUUGAAAUACAUAAAAAUCAUUUAAAAAAAUAUUGGAAUG